UUGACAUCCAGAGAAUUUAGCAGAGAUGCUUUAGCGCCUUCGGGAACUCUGAGACAGGUGCUGCAUGGCUGUCGUCAGCUCGUGUUGUGAAAUGUUGGGUUAAGUCCGCAACGAGCGCAACCCUUAUCCUUUGUUGCCAGCACGUAAUGGUGGGAACUCAAAGGAGACUGCCGGUGAUAAACCGGAGGAAGGUGGGGAUGACGUCAAGUCAUCAUGGCCCUUACGAGUAGGGCUACACACGUGCUACAAUGGCGUAUACAAAGAGAAGCGACCUCGCGAGAGCAAGCGGACCUCAUAAAGUGCGUCGUAGUCCGGAUUGGAGUCUGCAACUCGACUCCAUGAAGUCGGAAUCGCUAGUAAUCGUAAAUCAGAAUGUUACGGUGAAUACGUUCCCGGGCCUUGUACACACCGCCCGUCACACCAUGGGAGUGGGUUGCAAAAGAAGUAGAUAGCUUAACCUUCGGGAGGGCGUUUACCACUUUGUGAUUCAUGACUGGGGUGAAGUCGUAACAAGGUAGGCGUAGUGCU
RNAcentral lists this ribosomal RNA (528 nucleotides) under uncultured bacterium. Its description in RNAcentral is "bacterial SSU rRNA". It matches the Rfam family "Bacterial small subunit ribosomal RNA", at positions 981 to 1509 of the family's 1533-position model. The record is from RNAcentral.